GACAGAGGCCCCAAGCGUUAGGCGGAAUCACUGGGCUUAAAGCGUGUGUAGGCGGACGCCUAAGUGUCUUGUGAAAUCCCACGGCUCACCCGUGGAACUGCUGGGCAUACUGGGCGUCUUGGGCCAACUAGGGGCAGCCGGAACAAGCGGUGGAGCGGUGAAGUGCGUAGAUAUUCGGAAGAACACCAGUGGCGAAGGCGGCUCACUGGCCCGGUACUGACGCUGAUGUGCGAAAGCGUGGGGAGCAAACAGG
This 253-nucleotide ribosomal RNA is filed under the name uncultured bacterium. RNAcentral describes it as "partial 16S ribosomal RNA". It matches the Rfam family "Bacterial small subunit ribosomal RNA", at positions 524 to 776 of the family's 1533-position model. The record is from RNAcentral.